GUCAUCGGUUCAAAUCCGAUAAGGGGCUUUUUAGGUUU
This 38-nucleotide transfer RNA is filed under the name Chenopodium vulvaria. Its description in RNAcentral is "partial tRNA-Thr". Lineage: Eukaryota; Viridiplantae; Streptophyta; Magnoliopsida; Caryophyllales; Amaranthaceae. The record is from RNAcentral.